Molecule: ribosomal RNA, 233 nt
Filed under: uncultured bacterium
Lineage: Bacteria
Description: partial 16S ribosomal RNA
Rfam family: Bacterial small subunit ribosomal RNA
Source: RNAcentral
CGGGACGGGUGAGUAAUGUCUGGGAAACUGCCUGAUGGAGGGGGAUAACUACUGGAAACGGUAGCUAAUACCGCAUAACGUCGCAAGACCAAAGAGGGGGACCUUCGGGCCCCUUGCCAUCGGAUGUGCCCAGAUGGGAUUAGCUAGUAGGUGGGGUAACGGCUCACCUAGGCGACGAUCCCUAGCUGGUCUGAGAGGAUGACCAGCCACACUGGAACUGAGACACGGUCCAG